GUGCAUGUUUCGUUGCCCUGCCUUCUCGGUGUACGUGAGCAGUGUUACUUCUUGCAUGCUGUACAGAUAGUUGAAGGUUAAUUAGCAGUACAAGUAAACCGUAAUGCUGUCUGUCUCCUUCAGACAAAU
Hyaena hyaena (striped hyena) is the source of this 129-nucleotide small nucleolar RNA. Lineage: Eukaryota; Metazoa; Chordata; Mammalia; Carnivora; Hyaenidae. The record is from RefSeq and is a predicted model, not a curated record.